UACAGAGGUCCCGAGCGUUGUUCGGAUUCAUUGGGCGUAAAGGGUGCGUAGGCGGCGGGGCAAGUCUGAUGUGAAAUCCUGGGGCUCAACCCCAGAACUGCAUUGGAUACUGCUUUGCUAGAGUUCUGGAGAGGGAACUGGAAUUUACGGUGUAGCAGUGAAAUGCGUAGAGAUCGUAAGGAAGGCCAGUGGCGAAGGCGAGUUCCUGGACAGUGACUGACGCUGAGGCACGAAGGCCAGGGGAGCAAACGGG
Molecule: ribosomal RNA, 253 nt
Filed under: uncultured bacterium
Lineage: Bacteria
Description: partial 16S ribosomal RNA
Rfam family: Bacterial small subunit ribosomal RNA
Source: RNAcentral